AGCUCGAUGAGUAGGGCGGGACACGUGGUAUCCUGUCUGAAUAUGGGGGGACCAUCCUCCAAGGCUAAAUACUCCUGACUGACCGAUAGUGAACCAGUACCGUGAGGGAAAGGCGAAAAGAACCCCGGCGAGGGGAGUGAAAAAGAACCUGAAACCGUGUACGUACAAGCAGUGGGAGCACGCUUAGGCGUGUGACUGCGUACCUUUUGUAUAAUGGGUCAGCGACUUAUAUUCUGUAGCAAGGUUAACCGAAUAGGGGAGCCGAAGGGAAACCGAGUCUUAACUGGGCGUUAAGUUGCAGGGUAUAGACCCGAAACCCGGUGAUCUAGCCAUGGGCAGGUUGAAGGUUGGGUAACACUAACUGGAGGACCGAACCGACUAAUGUUGAAAAAUUAGCGGAUGACUUGUGGCUGGGGGUGAAAGGCCAAUCAAACCGGGAGAUAGCUGGUUCUCCCCGAAAGCUAUUUAGGUAGCGCCUCGUGAAUUCAUCUCCGGGGGUAGAGCACUGUUUCGGCAAGGGGGUCAUCCCGACUUACCAACCCGAUGCAAACUGCGAAUACCGGAGAAUGUUAUCACGGGAGACACACGGCGGGUGCUAACGUCCGUCGUGAAGAGGGAAACAACCCAGACCGCCAGCUAAGGUCCCAAAGUCAUGGUUAAGUGGGAAACGAUGUGGGAAGGCCCAGACAGCCAGGAUGUUGGCUUAGAAGCAGCCAUCAUUUAAAGAAAGCGUAAUAGCUCACUGGUCGAGUCGGCCUGCGCGGAAGAUGUAACGGGGCUAAACCAUGCACCGAAGCUGCGGCAGCGACGCUGAUGCGUUGUUGGGUAGGGGAGCGUUCUGUAAGCCUGUGAAGGUGUGCUGUGAGGCAUGCUGGAGGUAUCAGAAGUGCGAAUGCUGACAUAAGUAACGAUAAAGCGGGUGAAAAGCCCGCUCGCCGGAAGACCAAGGGUUCCUGUCCAACGUUAAUCGGGGCAGGGUGAGUCGACCCCUAAGGCGAGGCCGAAAGGCGUAGUCGAUGGGAAACAGGUUAAUAUUCCUGUACUUGGUGUUACUGCGAAGGGGGGACGGAGAAGGCUAUGUUGGCCGGGCGACGGUUGUCCCGGUUUAAGCGUGUAGGCUGGUUUUCCAGGCAAAUCCGGAAAAUCAAGGCUGAGGCGUGAUGACGAGGCACUACGGUGCUGAAGCAACAAAUGCCCUGCUUCCAGGAAAAGCCUCUAAGCAUCAGGUAACAUCAAAUCGUACCCCAAACCGACACAGGUGGUCAGGUAGAGAAUACCAAGGCGCUUGAGAGAACUCGGGUGAAGGAACUAGGCAAAAUGGUGCCGUAACUUCGGGAGAAGG
This 1342-nucleotide ribosomal RNA is filed under the name Escherichia coli. RNAcentral describes it as "partial 23S ribosomal RNA". It matches the Rfam family "Bacterial large subunit ribosomal RNA", at positions 402 to 1746 of the family's 2925-position model. Lineage: Bacteria; Pseudomonadati; Pseudomonadota; Gammaproteobacteria; Enterobacterales; Enterobacteriaceae. The record is from RNAcentral.